CCUAUUGUCAUUGAUUAUCCAUCAUCCUUCGAAGUUAGACGUGUUUGAGCCUUCGUUGCCGUUUAAAUCUCGCAACGCACCCGACAUAAAUGUCCCAUCGAUAAGACACAGUAGGAAGUUUCCGAUAACAAUACAGUAAUCAAUCCUACGAGCGAGGAACACAUCGAAUGCUAUAAUUAAUACAUUUCACGUUAAUUAUGGUAUUGAACCUGAAUCAAAAGCCGUUAACUAGCAAUCACUAGGAGUUUCAAUACUGUGUAACCAAUCGUUAACAAAUAAAUUAAUUCGUUGCACAUCAUGGAUAUCGGCGAACAUAUGGAAAGCUAUAAAAUAUUAUGGGAUUAUUUGAAAACCGAAUAUCCGGAGCUUUGUCAAGUAAUCUUGUAUACGUUAAAAGACGUUUUUGAAUCCGGAAUAAUCCCGGAAGGUACAACGGUGUUAGAAUCAUUACGUACGAUAGUUAGUGCGAAACGACUUUCAAUCAGUAACAGUCAACGUCGUCAAAAGAAAAAAUUGACCGAAGAAAAAUAUACACAAACUGAAGAAUAUCCUCAAGGUCGUAUUGUUCACGUUAAAUCGACACUCUCUUGUCUUCAUCGCUCUGAUUCUUCGGCCAAUGUACAUUAUAUUUGUCCGCGGUGUGCAAAAAUUUGGUCGGAGAGACGUUUGUAGUUUUAUUAAAAAAAUUAAAAAAAAAAAAAAA
Long non-coding RNA from Vespula pensylvanica (western yellowjacket), 703 nucleotides. RefSeq lists it as uncharacterized. NCBI's taxonomy places the organism in Eukaryota, Metazoa, Arthropoda, Insecta, Hymenoptera, Vespidae. The transcript has 3 exons. The record is from RefSeq and is a predicted model, not a curated record.